UACCAAACACCUCAGCCUCGCCAGACACCUUA
Molecule: non-coding RNA, 32 nt
Filed under: Vibrio phage 1.139.A._10N.261.48.C6
Lineage: Duplodnaviria; Heunggongvirae; Uroviricota; Caudoviricetes; Zobellviridae
Source: RNAcentral